This 230-nucleotide ribosomal RNA is filed under the name Agroathelia rolfsii. RNAcentral's name for it is "Athelia rolfsii internal transcribed spacer 2". Lineage: Eukaryota; Fungi; Basidiomycota; Agaricomycetes; Amylocorticiales; Amylocorticiaceae. The record is from RNAcentral.
AUUAAAUUCUCAACCUUACAAAUUUUUGUAUUUGUCAAGGCUUGGAUGUGAGAGUUGCUAGUUAAGAAUAUCUGACUGGCUCUCUUUAAAACUAUUAGUAGGACAUAUAGAAAUGCCUGCGGUUGGUGUGAUAAUAUGUCUACGCCUAUACCAAAGGGGAUUCUAGCUUGUAUGCACUACUUAUAAAAUCAUGCGCAUAUAUCUAGCAUUAUAAGUGCAUAAUUGACUAU